This 227-nucleotide ribosomal RNA is filed under the name uncultured bacterium. RNAcentral describes it as "partial 16S ribosomal RNA". It matches the Rfam family "Bacterial small subunit ribosomal RNA", at positions 109 to 334 of the family's 1533-position model. The record is from RNAcentral.
AGUAACGUGUGGGCAACCUGCCCUAUACUGGGGAAUAAUCACUGGAAACGGUGACUAAUACCGCAUGUCAUUACGGAAGGGCAUCCUUCUGUAAGAAAAGGAGUAAUUCGGUAUAGGAUGGGCCCGCAUCUGAUUAGCUAGUUGGUGAGAUAACAGCCCACCAAGGCGACGAUCAGUAGCCGACCUGAGAGGGUGAUCGGCCACAUUGGGACUGAGACACGGCCCAA